This 410-nucleotide ribosomal RNA is filed under the name uncultured bacterium. RNAcentral describes it as "bacterial SSU rRNA". It matches the Rfam family "Bacterial small subunit ribosomal RNA", at positions 29 to 424 of the family's 1533-position model. The record is from RNAcentral.
AACGAACGUUAGCGGCGCGCUUAACACAUGCAAGUCGCACGAGAAAGGGCUUCGGCCCCGGUAAAGUGGCGCACGGGUGAGUAACACGUGGAUAACCUACCCUUGAGCAGGGGAUAACAUCCCGAAAGGGGUGCUAAUACCGCAUAAGACCACGGCUCCGAAAGGAGCUGAGGUAAAAGCUGGCCUCUAUAUAUAAGCUAGCACUUGAGGACGGGUCCGCGGCGCAUCAGGUAGUUGGCGGGGUAAUGGCCCACCAAGCCUUAGACGCGUAGCUGGUCUGAGAGGAUGAUCAGCCACACUGGAACUGAGACACGGUCCAGACUCCUACGGGAGGCAGCAGUGGGGAAUCUUGCGCAAUGGACGAAAGUCUGACGCAGCGACGCCGCGUGUGUGAUGAAGGCCUUCGGGUC